GCGCGGCGGCUGCCCACGCUGGCCGCCGGGCCCCGGCCCGCGCUGGACGAGACGACACACCCCGUGCUGGCCACACGGCGUCCUGCAGCGCUCACAUGUCACUCGUCUCGCAUGUCACAGCUAUGCGCAGGGACCCUGAGCUACCUCGCCACACGACCUGCUGGCACUCUACCCCCGCACAGAAGCCACACACCCGGCCACAAUCCCGUCUGCCUCAUCUCCCAGGAAAUAACCAUGAAGUUCGAGGCUUCAGACCUCCGCAGAGCCUCCAAAGUCUCUCCCCAAAAUCCCCCAAGUACAAGCACUUCUACUGCCCUGGGUAGCUGUGGACUCCCUAGACCCCCAGCGUGGCCACAGUCUGGGACCCCUAUAUUCUGAUGGGCCUCCGAGUCCCCAAAUAGGUUGUCAGCUCCUGCGCCGUCGCUCAAGCACCUGGGAGGGCAGGAGCCGGCAGGGAAGCAGUACUUCAGGGCACCACUGCUGCCUGCCUUCCGGUGUAAAGUGGCAUGGACAUGGUACAAGGCUCUGCAUUCACCAGGGUCCUUCUCUCAUGCUGGGCCCAGAGAAGGCCUGUGGUUAGGUCGGGUAAAUUUCAGAGACACUGUCUCCAAACUGCCCACCACCACAGGGUCCCACAAGGGUCCCACAGCAUGAUAAGGUCUGUUUUUUGGGGUUUUUUGGUUUUUUGGUUUUUGUUUUUUGUUUUUUGUUUUCAGAUACACAGGAUGCCAUCUCUCUAUGCACUGGAGCUUGGCAGCCGUGCCUGCUGAGGCGGAGGGCUGGAGGGAGCACAGAAAGACAUAAGAAACUUGGAAGCUCUAGCGCAAACCCAUCCGUGAACAGAGGAGGAAGCAGGGCCCGGAACUGGCCCCAGUUCAAACAGGGAGGAGGCAGCUGUGGAAUGAGGCCCAGGCCCUGGCCUCCUUCCUCUACCAGGCCCAGGUCCAGGCUCACGGAGAACAGGGUGGAAGCCUUGGGAAACGAGUCUGUGGUUAAUCAUUGUCUCAUCCAGAAGUCUAAGCUGGGCCCAGAGAUGAGGCCCAGGAACCAAGAGGUGCACAGACACCAGAGCCUCUCAUCCACGAUGUUCCCGGCAUCUGCAGCACCAAGGUGGAUGUGUGGGACUGAGCGUCACCUCCAUGACUGUCCUCUGAGGAUUCCGCCUCAUUCCUCUUCUCCCCGUAGCCAUGCCAGGGGGGCAGGGCCGCAGCGCCGAGGCACAGAGUCUACACCAUGUGCCAGGGGCCUGGGGACCCCCUCGGGCUCCUGGCCAGCAGUGCUGUUCUUCCCUGAGCCUCCAUUUCCCCAUCCACAGAAGGCAAGUGGUGAGUAAUCACUGCCACACCUAGACAGAAUGGCGUAGAGAAAGUGCCCCAGCGUCCCACAUUGCCUUCCGGGACGCCUCCUCCUCGGACAAACUCCUUCCCUCCUGAAUUUCUGUAAAAUAGCGUCCCGCCCUGUGGGGACGCUGUGUGCCCCAGACAGGCAGCCCAUCCAUCCGUGAAAUGGGUACAGGAACACCAGUCUGUCCCAAAGUAGUCCCCAUGCCCAAAACCAGGCUUUGUCCCUGAACUCCAGCCCCACCCCACACCCUCACUCAGAGCCUCAGAGCCAGUAUGUAUUCGUCAGGGAGAUCAUUUUGGGUUAGCUUUUGUCAUUGUUUUGAUUCUUUUUCCAGUACUGAGGAUUAAUUAAACCCAGGGCCUUCACACUGUACUACUAUAUCCUCACCACCAGCC
Molecule: long non-coding RNA, 1739 nt
Organism: Chinchilla lanigera (long-tailed chinchilla)
Lineage: Eukaryota; Metazoa; Chordata; Mammalia; Rodentia; Chinchillidae
Source: Ensembl